This 666-nucleotide ribosomal RNA is filed under the name uncultured bacterium. RNAcentral's name for it is "bacterial SSU rRNA". It matches the Rfam family "Bacterial small subunit ribosomal RNA", at positions 8 to 669 of the family's 1533-position model. The record is from RNAcentral.
AGAGUUUGAUCCUGGCUCAGAUUGAACGCUGGCGGCGUGCCUUACUCAUGCAAGUCGAACGGCAGCACGGGAGCAAUCCUGGUGGCGAGUGGCGAACGGGUGAGUAAUAUAUCGGAACGUGCCCAGUCGUGGGGGAUAACGCAGCGAAAGCUGUGCUAAUACCGCAUACGAUCUACGGAUGAAAGCGGGGGAUCGCAAGACCUCGCGCGAUUGGAGCGGCCGAUAUCAGAUUAGCUAGUUGGUGGGGUAAAAGCCCACCAAGGCGACGAUCUGUAGCUGGUCUGAGAGGACGACCAGCCACACUGGAACUGAGACACGGUCCAGACUCCUACGGGAGGCAGCAGUGGGGAAUUUUGGACAAUGGGCGCAAGCCUGAUCCAGCAAUGCCGCGUGCAGGAUGAAGGCCUUCGGGUUGUAAACUGCUUUUGUACGGAGCGAAACGGCUCUCUUUAAUACAGGGGGCUAAUGACGGUACCGUAAGAAUAAGCACCGGCUAACUACGUGCCAGCAGCCGCGGUAAUACGUAGGGUGCGAGCGUUAAUCGGAAUUACUGGGCGUAAAGCGUGCGCAGGCGGUUUUGUAAGACAGAUGUGAAAUCCCCGGGCUCAACCUGGGACCUGCAUUUGUGACUGCAAGGCUAGAGUACGGUAGAGGGGGAUGGAAUUC